GGUUAGGGUUUUUGAAAGGUUUUGGAGGAGCCAAAGCUAAUAGGAAGGUCCAAACCUUAAGCAAGAACACCAAAGAGGUAAGUGCAAGGGCAAGGCAGAGCAGUGAGCGCUGGAGUCUUCCUUGCAAAUGUACAUGUGGACCGACCUUUUGGGAAGCCUUUUUAUUUUUGGAAAUGUUGUGUAAUUUUCCUAAACUAGGCUCACUCUAAUCUUUAUAAAACAUGUUUGUAACUAAAUGUUAAGUAUGGCCAUACGACUUUUUAAAAAGUUUUUUUUCUAUGGGUUUUUGAGA
This is a long non-coding RNA of Humulus lupulus (European hop), 292 nucleotides long. RefSeq lists it as uncharacterized. The transcript has 2 exons. Lineage: Eukaryota; Viridiplantae; Streptophyta; Magnoliopsida; Rosales; Cannabaceae. The record is from RefSeq and is a predicted model, not a curated record.